ACCAAUAGUUUAGACUUAUUCAUAAUUUAAAAGUAACUGAAUUUUACUUUAUCUUUAAUUACAUUUAAAUAUCAGCCUUGAAUUUAAAGUUUGAAAAGCAUUGUUAAACGAAAACCUAUCGAAGUUACUAAGUAAUUGGAUUUUAAUUGUGAAUUAUUAUAAAAGAUACUUUACUACCGUUUAAGUUUCUUGGUGAGCUAAUUAGCAUUAAAAGUCAGUCGUCUCAUAACCCUUGAUACGGUAAGCUCACCCAAAGAAUAAAACCCACACUCAGCAAAUCUUAACUCUGGUUCUUUUAUUUCUUUGUCUCGUUUCCAUACUUUGUCCAAUGGUUCAUAAUUUCUCACCUAUCGAGAAAUUGUGCCAAACCACUGACAUCUCAUCUUCUCCCAGCUUAAUAAAGGCAAGCACAUCUGCUGUCCCCCACAACCUCCAACACAUACAGUCCAAACAUUGAUUUGCAUUGGUGGCGACCAAUAGAUUCAACAAACAUCAUCUUGCUCCACCAAUCCCCCCAUACUCCAAUCUAGUUUAAACAUGGUCCACUCGAGGAGAGAACACUCAAACCAGCAAAGAUCAACAUCAAGCGUAAGCGAAGAGAGCAGAAGAACAUCAAUCCAUCAUCAGCAACGGUCGCCCAACAUGUAUAAAUGCAAGUUAUGCAAUAAGUUCCACGCACUGAAGGUUUGUCCCAAAUUUCUGAAAAUGACGCCAAAACAGCGAAAUGUUUUGGUACUUAAAGAAACGUACUGCGUAAAUUGUCUUGCAAGAAGCCACAGAUUCCGCGAUUGUCGAUCCCGCAAUAUGUGCAGAAGAUGCGGAAGGCCACACAAUACUUUACUUCACCCCAAUUACACGAAUCGAAAAGGAAACCAGACCAGCAACAACAGCACCAAAAGCGGCAACAACAGUGGCAACAACAGUAGCAACAACAGCAGAGACAAUAACAACAGCAACAACAACCAAUGUGAAUCUGGGGCAAAUCAGAAAAUUUUGUCUGAAGCUAUUCGUGCGUUAGCAACCGUUCUAUGUUCGUCACCAAAGUGAUUUUGUCCGCGGUGGCAGCAUGUCUAAACCAAUAGUUUAGACUUAUUCAUAAUUUAAAAGUAACUGAAUUUUACUUUAUCUUUAAUUACAUUUAAAUAUCAGCCUUGAAUUUAAAGUUUGAAAAGCAUUGUUAAACGAAAACCUAUCGAAGUUACUAAGUAAUUGGAUUUUAAUUGUGAAUUAUUAUAAAAGAUACUUUACUACCGUUUAAGUUUCUUGGUGAGCUAAUUAGCAUUAAAAGUCAGUCGUCUCAUAACCCUUGAUACGCUUAAUAAAGGCAAGCACAUCUGCUGUCCCCCACAACCUCCAACACAUACAGUCCAAACAUUGAUUUGCAUUGGUGGCGACCAAUAGAUUCAACAAACAUCAUCUUGCUCCACCAAUCCCCCCAUACUCCAAUCUAGUU
Molecule: RNA transcript, 1453 nt
Organism: Stomoxys calcitrans (stable fly)
Lineage: Eukaryota; Metazoa; Arthropoda; Insecta; Diptera; Muscidae
Exons: 3
Source: RefSeq, a predicted model, not a curated record